RNAcentral lists this transfer RNA (54 nucleotides) under Leipothrix sp. 1 XFX-2017. Its description in RNAcentral is "tRNA-Cys". The record is from RNAcentral. Lineage: Eukaryota; Metazoa; Arthropoda; Arachnida; Trombidiformes; Eriophyidae.
AAUUUUUAACAAUAAAAGACGAAGGGGUUAUUGCAAAUAACUUAUUGGUGUCUU